This 207-nucleotide long non-coding RNA is filed under the name Elaeis guineensis (African oil palm). Its description in RNAcentral is "long non-coding RNA (EGUI_LNC044782)". The record is from RNAcentral. Lineage: Eukaryota; Viridiplantae; Streptophyta; Magnoliopsida; Arecales; Arecaceae.
CUGGCUGUUCUUCCUUUGGUGGCUCUGGCUGUGGUAGGGCCCUCGGUCGAUCCUCCCUACCUUCAAGUCGGCGUCGGAUGAAUCUAUCGAGCCGACCUCGUCUGAUGAGCUCCUCGAUCCGUUGGUUCAUCUCUUGGAACCUUUGAUCCUGGAGAUCUUCUCGACUGCGAGUCUCGAGGGUCUCCUGGUGGAACGGAGGUAGGGACC